GCUUGACAUUACUAAAAACUGAUAAUUCGACGUCUGAAAAGUAGCACAUCUGCAUCGCUUUUUUUCCCUAGACGUCUGUGCCUGCCAAGGCUGAGGGAACUCCAGGAAGUCUUCGCAUAUCAUGUGAUAAAAUGAGGAAACGUGAAACGCAGGCAGUUUGAUCCCCUCACACACCUUUUGUGAAGGUGACCAGCCUGACAGAAUCUGUCAGAAUCUGUCAGGCCGGCCAUGCCCCCCACCAUCUGAUGGUCUCUGGAGGAGAGAGUCCCAGGUGUGCGAGAGACCCCCUCAUCC
Amphiprion ocellaris (clown anemonefish) is the source of this 294-nucleotide long non-coding RNA. The record is from Ensembl. NCBI's taxonomy places the organism in Eukaryota, Metazoa, Chordata, Actinopteri, Pomacentridae.